GCGGGAAAGUAGCUUGCUACUUUUGCCGGCGAGCGGCGGACGGGUGAGUAAUGCCUGGGAAAUUGCCCAGUCGAGGGGGAUAACAGUUGGAAACGACUGCUAAUACCGCAUACGCCCUACGGGGGAAAGCAGGGGACCUUCGGGCCUUGCGCGAUUGGAUAUGCCCAGGUGGGAUUAGCUUGUUGGUGAGGUAAUGGCUCACCAAGGCGACGAUCCCUAGCUGGUCUGAGAGGAUGAUCAGCCACACUGGAACUGAGACACGGUCCAGACUCCUACGGGAGGCAGCAGUGGGGAAUAUUGCACAAUGGGGGAAACCCUGAUGCAGCCAUGCCGCGUGUGUGAAGAAGGCCUUCGGGUUGUAAAGCACUUUCAGCGAGGAGGAAAGGUUGGUA
RNAcentral lists this ribosomal RNA (392 nucleotides) under Aeromonas sp. Benji_VG15. RNAcentral's name for it is "bacterial SSU rRNA". It matches the Rfam family "Bacterial small subunit ribosomal RNA", at positions 66 to 458 of the family's 1533-position model. Lineage: Bacteria; Pseudomonadati; Pseudomonadota; Gammaproteobacteria; Aeromonadales; Aeromonadaceae. The record is from RNAcentral.